Molecule: ribosomal RNA, 440 nt
Filed under: uncultured bacterium
Lineage: Bacteria
Description: partial 16S ribosomal RNA
Rfam family: Bacterial small subunit ribosomal RNA
Source: RNAcentral
CCUACGGGUGGCAGCAGUGGGGAAUAUUGCACAAUGGGGGAAACCCUGAUGCAGCGACGCCGCGUGAGUGAAGAAGUAUUUCGGUAUGUAAAGCUCUAUCAGCAGGGAAGCAAAUGACGGUACCUGACUCAGAAUCCCCGGCUAACUACGUGCCAGCAGCCGCGGUAAUACGGAGGGGGCAAGCGUUAUCCGGAGUUACGGGGUGUAAAGGGAGCGUAGACGGCCAGACAAGUCAGAAGGGAAAGCCCAGGGCUCAACCCUGGGACUGCGUUUGAAACUGCCGGGCUGGAGUGCAGGAGAGGUAAGCGGAAUGCGUGGUGUAGCGGUGAAAUGCGUAGAUAUUAGGAGGAACACCAGUGGCGAAGGCGGCUUACUGGACUGUAACUGACGUUGAGGCUCGAAAGCGUGGGGAGCAAACAGGAUUAGAUACCCUUGUAGUC